ACGAUUGUAUGCCGACAUGUCAAUUUGAACUUAAACUAUAUUCUGUGUUACAGACUGAGAUAGAUACAAGAUGGUCCUGUUCUCGCAGCAGUGAAUGGCUUUCCAGUCUUCGAGCAGUUCAAGACACAGUGUGGAUUAUUGGUGACUGGUCCAUCGAGGUGCUCAGAGAGCUGCAGAGACAGAGGAAGAAACCUGGGCCUGAAGAACAUCCGCAUCAGUUGGUUCGGCUGGGGUGGACUUCGCUGGAAAGGCCUCCUUCCCUUCUUCGAAAACUCACUCCGAGGGAGGUCUCCCCCGGAUGGCCUCAUCAUCCACUGUGGGGACAACAGCAUGGGACAUGUCAGUGGUGUCGUGCUGGUCAAUAUGAUGAAGGAGGACCUUCAUCAAUUCCACACACGACACCCUGGCAUGAAGAUCAUGUUGUCUGCCCUCACACAGAGGUGCAAGUGGAGGUAUGGCAGCCAUCUGGGGAAGAUUGACAAAUCCCGAAGAUUUGGCAACAGUGUUAUGGCUACAGUUGUUGGAUCAAUAGACGGUGCAGUGAUUGAGCACCCUCAAAUUAGACAUGACAGUCCUGGGCUAUUUUUUAAAAGAUGGAGUUCAUUUCACACCUAGAGGAAAUUAUUUAUUUUUAAGUAAGUUUGCUCAUUGCCUUAAAGACCACCUCCAAAUACAGUGAAACUGCACUGGAAUUUGAAAGUGGCCUUUAUUUAAAUGACAAAUUCAUAGCCCACUACCCUGGCUAAUGUUGAGGUUUUUUUAUACUUUUGUUAAACAUCCACUGAUGUAGCCAUGAGACUGUUUCCCUCCCCCCCCACCCCCACAAUACCUGGCUCUCUGAGGUUUUGGCACCCCGUUGCCAGCUAUCAGAGACAUCAAAUCAAUGUCUUGACAGAAUGAAGGGGCUGUAUGAUAUUGUAAUUCAAGGUGAGAAUGUUCUGUUAUAUAUUUGAAAGUAUUGCAUUUGAUGUCUUUUUCCCUUGCCCACAGAUAAACAACAACUGAGCUUUCUUUUUAGAAAUAAAUCUAGCUUCCCUUCAUUUACUAGAAAAAGAGUUAUCGAGGCAGUUUUUCUCUCUGUUCUUGAUUGUGGGGAUGUUAUUUAUGAACAUGCAGCCAGCACUACUUUAAAACCUCUGGGUGCAGUGUAUCACUCUGCACUCAGAUUCAUUUCUUGGGACAGCUAUGGGACACAUCAUUGUCUUACUAUCAGAAAACUGGCCCUCCUUGCUCUUAUUAGAAGAGACCAGCACAUUUAUAUAUAAAGCCGUUUUAAAUAAACUUCCUC
Molecule: long non-coding RNA, 1288 nt
Organism: Labrus mixtus (cuckoo wrasse)
Lineage: Eukaryota; Metazoa; Chordata; Actinopteri; Labriformes; Labridae
Exons: 3
Source: RefSeq, a predicted model, not a curated record